This 253-nucleotide ribosomal RNA is filed under the name uncultured bacterium. Its description in RNAcentral is "partial 16S ribosomal RNA". It matches the Rfam family "Bacterial small subunit ribosomal RNA", at positions 524 to 776 of the family's 1533-position model. The record is from RNAcentral.
UACGAAGGGGGCUAGCGUUGUUCGGAAUUACUGGGCGUAAAGGGCGCGUAGGCGGUGUGUCAAGUCAGGCGUGAAAGCCCCGGGCUCAACCUGGGAACCGCGCUUGAGACUGGCACGCUCGAGUUCGGGAGAGGAUGGUGGAAUUCCCAGUGUAGAGGUGAAAUUCGUAGAUAUUGGGAAGAACACCGGUGGCGAAGGCAGCCAUCUGGACCGACACUGACGCUGAGGCGCGAAAGCGUGGGGAGCAAACAGG